This 162-nucleotide non-coding RNA is filed under the name human gut metagenome. The record is from RNAcentral.
GUAUUUACGGUUUUUCCUAUCGGAGAAUUAAAAGGGAAUGCGGUUAGAAUCCGCAGCAGUCCCCGCUACUGUAAAAAUGACGAAAGCUCACAUUGUCACUGACUUCGGUCGGGAAGACGAGCUGUUAGGUUGAAUUUGAGCCAGGAGACCUGCCGUAUUUAC